Amphimedon queenslandica is the source of this 46-nucleotide non-coding RNA. The record is from Rfam. Lineage: Eukaryota; Metazoa; Porifera; Demospongiae; Haplosclerida; Niphatidae.
CAACCGGCUUUUUUCAAAGCUAUCCCAAUGAUACUGAAAGGAAGAA